This 406-nucleotide ribosomal RNA is filed under the name uncultured bacterium. RNAcentral's name for it is "partial 16S ribosomal RNA". It matches the Rfam family "Bacterial small subunit ribosomal RNA", at positions 30 to 526 of the family's 1533-position model. The record is from RNAcentral.
AUUGAACGCUGGCGGCAGGCUUAACACAUGCAAGUCGAACGAGUGGCGGACGGGUGAGUAAUGUAUGGGGAUCUGCCUGAUAGCGGGGGAUAACUCCUGGAAACGGUAGCUAACACCGCAUUCCCUCAGAUGAACCCAUAUGGGAUUAGCUUGUAGGUGAGGUAACGGCUCACCUAGGCGACGAUCCCUAGCUGGUCGUAGAGGAUGAUCAGCCACACUGGGACUGAGACACUGCCCAGAUUCCUACGGGAGGCAGCAGUGGGGAAUAUUGCACAAUGGGCGCAAGCCUGAUGCAGCCAUGCCGCGUGUAUGAAGAAGGCCGUCGGGUUGUAAAGUACUUUCAGUCGGGAGGCGUUACCGACAGAAGAAGCACCGGCUAACUCCGUGCCAGCAGCCGCGGUAAUUC